UCCUGGUGGCUCAUAUGGUAAAGCAUCCGUCUAUAAUGCAGAAGACCCAGGUUUGAUUCCUGGGUCAGGAA
Molecule: transfer RNA, 71 nt
Filed under: Ovis aries (sheep)
Lineage: Eukaryota; Metazoa; Chordata; Mammalia; Artiodactyla; Bovidae
Rfam family: tRNA
About the family: Transfer RNA (tRNA) molecules are approximately 80 nucleotides in length. Their secondary structure includes four short double-helical elements and three loops (D, anti-codon, and T loops).
Source: Rfam by way of RNAcentral